RNAcentral lists this ribosomal RNA (253 nucleotides) under uncultured bacterium. Its description in RNAcentral is "partial 16S ribosomal RNA". It matches the Rfam family "Bacterial small subunit ribosomal RNA", at positions 524 to 776 of the family's 1533-position model. The record is from RNAcentral.
UACGUAGGGUGCAAGCGUUGUCCGGAAUUAUUGGGCGUAAAGAGCUCGUAGGCGGUUUGUCGCGUCUGCCGUGAAAGUCCGGGGCUCAACUCCGGAUCUGCGGUGGGUACGGGCAGACUAGAGUGAUGUAGGGGAGACUGGAAUUCCUGGUGUAGCGGUGAAAUGCGCAGAUAUCAGGAGGAACACCGAUGGCGAAGGCAGGUCUCUGGGCAUUAACUGACGCUGAGGAGCGAGAGCAUGGGGAGCGAACAGG